CGAUUGACCUCGGAUCAGGUAGGGAUACCCGCUGAACUUAAGCA
This 44-nucleotide ribosomal RNA is filed under the name Ramalina pollinaria. Its description in RNAcentral is "partial 28S ribosomal RNA". Lineage: Eukaryota; Fungi; Ascomycota; Lecanoromycetes; Lecanorales; Ramalinaceae. The record is from RNAcentral.